RNAcentral lists this long non-coding RNA (1118 nucleotides) under Sus scrofa (pig). Its description in RNAcentral is "lncRNA (ENSSSCG00070005715.1)". Lineage: Eukaryota; Metazoa; Chordata; Mammalia; Artiodactyla; Suidae. The record is from RNAcentral.
AUGUCAUUUCUCAGAUUCGGUUUCAUACGUGUGUGUCUCCCCCUGACCUCACGUGUACGUGGUCUGACAGAUGGGAUCCUGGGUGCACACAGUCCACAGGUGGCCCAUGUCAGAAGACGCCUGGGGUCUCUGUCGGCACGUGGGGACCCCACACCCACAUUAGCAGCUGCCCAGCGCUCACUGGCCCACCUGGACCAGGACCGAUGCGUCCCAUCCCCUCUCCGUGGACACUGCCGUUUCCAGUCCCUGAUACUCCAGCCUGUGCCGUGCCGGACCCUCUUGAAAAUACAUCUUGGAGACACUGCGCAGGAAUCCCUGCGGCCGGGGUCCCGGGAUGGGCUCUGCAGGCGAGGGGCCCCACCUGUGCACUUCUGGUCCUGCACAUGCUUCUCCCAGAGAGCAGCAUCCUUCCUCACGUCCCCCGAAGGCAUCUGCUGAGUCUCUGCUUCCUCACGUUGUCCCCAGAGCUACUGGUCACCAGACGAGAGACCUUCCUGUGGGACGGUGACCAUGCUGCCGCCACAGUGUUCACACAUGUGUGUCCUCACUGGGGACGCUGAGCAUCGCUGACCUAUACUGACCGUGUGUGUGGCCCUCCCGUUGAAAUCACAUGAUUGCUUUUUGUCCCUUUUAAAACAUUAGCUUUGGAGAAUUCUCUCUCUCUCUCUCUUUUUUUUUUUUUCUUUUUAGGGUGGCAUCUGAGGCAUACAGAGGUUCCCAGGCUAGUGGUCAAAGGGGAGCUGCAGCUGCUGGCCUACACCACAGCUGUGCCAGGGAUACGUCCGGUUCGUUACCGCUGAGCCACGACAGGAACUCCUGGAAUAUUUUCAGGACCACAGAGAUGUUAAGCCUUUUUCUGGCUCUGGGGUGUGAGGCAUGCUCUUCGGGUUUGUCUUCCUCACUUUCUACAUGUUUGUUUUUGCCACAGGAAGAGUCUGGCGUUGCCCUGUCUUCUGGCUCCGAUGUCACGCUUCGAACAGGGGACUCUGUCCUGAGGUGGCGCACAUGUCUCCUCAAAGGGCUUCAUUUGCUGCAUCUCAUCUUUAAACCCAUCUGGAAUUUCCCUUGCAAAUAACAAAGCUCUUUUUCAAAUAAAAACAGAAAACAAAAAUUUAUCA